RNAcentral lists this ribosomal RNA (375 nucleotides) under uncultured eukaryote. RNAcentral's name for it is "partial 18S ribosomal RNA". It matches the Rfam family "Eukaryotic small subunit ribosomal RNA", at positions 592 to 976 of the family's 1831-position model. The record is from RNAcentral.
CAAUAGCGUAUAUUUAAGUUGUUGCAGUUAAAAAGCUCGUAGUUGGAUUUCGGUUAAGAGCGACCGGUCCGCCGUUUGGUGUGCACUGGUUGGUUUUAACUUCCUGUAGAGGACGUGCUCUGGGUUUAACGACCUGGACUCGGAGUCUACGUGGUUACUUUGAAAAAAUUAGAGUGUUCAAAGCGGGCUUACGCUUGAAUAUUUCAGCAUGGAAUAACACUAUAGGACUCCUGUCCUAUUUCGUUGGUCUCGGGACGGGAGUAAUGAUUAAGAGGAACAGUUGGGGGUAUUCGUAUUCCAUUGUCAGAGGUGAAAUUCUUGGAUUUUUGGAAGACGAACUACUGCGAAAGCAUUUACCAAGGAUGUUUUCAUUAA